GGACUACAGGGGUUUCUAAUCCUGUUUGAUCCCCACGCUUUCGUGCCUCAGCGUCAAUAAUGGCUUUGUGAGCUGCCUUCGCAAUCGGUGUUCUAUGACAUAUCUAAGCAUUUCACCGCUACAUGUCAUAUUCCGCCCACAUCAAACAUAUUCAAGAUCAACAGUAUCAAUGGCAGUUCUGUUGUUAAGCAACAGGCUUUCACCACUGACUUAUCAAUCCGCCUACGCACCCUUUAAACCCAAUGAAUCCGGAUAACGCUUGGGUCCUUCGUCUUACCGCGGCUGCUGGCAC
This 292-nucleotide ribosomal RNA is filed under the name uncultured Bacteroidota bacterium. RNAcentral describes it as "uncultured Bacteroidetes bacterium partial 16S ribosomal RNA". Lineage: Bacteria; Pseudomonadati; Bacteroidota. The record is from RNAcentral.